This 424-nucleotide ribosomal RNA is filed under the name Hyalinobatrachium cappellei group sp. ABGD cluster 5. RNAcentral describes it as "partial large subunit ribosomal RNA". It matches the Rfam family "Bacterial large subunit ribosomal RNA", at positions 1834 to 2457 of the family's 2925-position model. The record is from RNAcentral. Lineage: Eukaryota; Metazoa; Chordata; Amphibia; Anura; Centrolenidae.
CUUGAAUAAACAUAAGAGGUCCAGCCUGCCCAGUGACCAUGUUCAACGGCCGCGGUAUCCUAACCGUGCGAAGGUAGCGUAAUCACUUGUUCUUUAAAUAAGGACUAGUAUGAACGGCAUCACGAAGGUUACACUGUCUCCUCUUUCUAAUCAGUGAAACUAAUCUCCUCGUGAAGAAACGAGGAUAAACAUAUAAGACGAGAAGACCCUAUGGAGCUUCAAACUACAAAGCACCUGCCCCAGUAUUACUUAAUUCCAGAAAACCACAUCUACCCAGGCAAGAUGACCUUUAGUUUUAGGUUGGGGUGACCGCGGAGCAAAAAAAAACCUCCACAUUGAAAGGAGCCCACUCCUUAGCCAAGAGCCACACCUCUAAGCACCAACAAAAAGACAUCAAUUGACCCAAUAUUUUUGAUCAACGAAC